UACGAAGGGGACUAGCGUUGUUCGGAAUUACUGGGCGUAAAGCGCACGUAGGCGGAUUUGUAAGUCAGGGGUGAAAUCCCGGGGCUCAACCUCGGAACUGCCUUUGAUACUGCAAAUCUCGAGUCCGAUAGAGGUGGGUGGAAUUCCUAGUGUAGAGGUGAAAUCGAUUAGAUAUUAGGAAGAACACCGGUGGCGAAGGCGGCCUACCUGGACGGCUGACGCUGAGGCGCGAAAGCUAGGGGAGCAAACGGGAUAGAA
Molecule: ribosomal RNA, 258 nt
Filed under: uncultured bacterium
Lineage: Bacteria
Description: partial 16S ribosomal RNA
Rfam family: Bacterial small subunit ribosomal RNA
Source: RNAcentral